Molecule: ribosomal RNA, 380 nt
Filed under: uncultured eukaryote
Lineage: Eukaryota
Description: partial 18S ribosomal RNA
Rfam family: Eukaryotic small subunit ribosomal RNA
Source: RNAcentral
CAAUAGCGUAUAUUAAAGUUGUUGCGGUUAAAAAGCUCGUAGUUGGAUUUCUGCUGAGGAUGACCGGUCCGCCCUCCGGGUGAGUAUCUGGCUCAGCCUUGGCAUCUUCCUGAAGAACGUAACUGCACUUGACUGUGUGGUGCGGUAUUUAGGACAUUUACUUUGAGGAAAUUAGAGUGUUUCAAGCAAGCGCACGCCUUGAAUACAUUAGCAUGGAAUAAUAAGAUAGGACCUCGGUUCUAUUUUGUUGGUUUCUAGAGCUGAGGUAAUGAUUGAUAGGGAUAGUUGGGGGCAUUCGUAUUUAACUGUCAGAGGUGAAAUUCUUGGAUUUGUUAAAGACGGACCACUGCGAAAGCAUUUGCCAAGGAUGUUUUCAUUGA